AAAAAUCGAAUCUUUACAAUGUAAAAAACUCCCCUUAUAUCCUUGCUAUAUAAUUGUAAAGGUCACCUGAUUAAAAUGACUUGAAAUCAAUAUCUCAUAAUUUAGCAGCAGUUUUCCCAACAACAACAUAAUUUUGCAUGACUAGAUAUCAAUAUCUCAUCACAACAACAACAUAAUUUAUCAUAACUGCAUGACUUUGAAUCCCAAAUCCUAGCAUUCAUAAUUUAUCAUAACAUAAUCUUUCGCAGCAAACAGUUCAUCACAGCCACAACAUCAUUUUGCAACAAAGAUAAUGCAGACAAAUGUAUCCAUCUUUUGGUGUCAUGGUCAUCUAGCAUUGAGAACCUGCAAGAAAUUUAUCCAUCCGGCUUGUUUAUUGUGGCUUCUAUUGGUGCUUGAGAACCUAAUGAAACAAAAAGAGAUGAACAUUAGAGUGCCUUGAGAAAAACUAUUACAACAAAUAGCUUUGCUAGAUGAACAUUAGUUCUAUUCACAGAGGGAGUAAUACAUAUGAAAGUAUAAUAGUAGAUUUCGUCAAGUAUCGCCGGAACAUAGUAAGCAACUAAGCAUAAUACAGAGGGAGUAGAUAGCACAAGGCCAUUAUUCAGUUUAGAGUCAAGUUGUGCCUCAAACGGAAAGCAUCAGCCAUUAGGCUAAUCAAAAAAAUAGGAGAAAAAUAAAUGAAAAAACUGAUACAAACUAGUAAAUCAUGAAUUACUUCCACAGCAGUUGGUAUCUUCAAACAAAGAUAUUGCAUGUCUGAUACAGAAUUUGGGUAGGGUUCAACUAAUCAGCAAACAAUUGAUUUUUAAAGCAGGAUAGCAUCUUUCGGGAUGUCCUUUCUACUCCAGUUUGAUGUUCUUUCAUGGAAGUAUGUUAAAAAAAUCAAAUAACAUACUUAAACAGUCGUCAAACUGCUCAAAUUUUGGGCACUUAAAACAAUUAGUAAGAAUGAUUCGUUAAGAGCUGCUAUUGUUUCCUUGUGCCGAUAACUUGUAAGCUAAGAAAUAUUUGUCUCAAAUAAUUGAAUCAACUUCAUUUUAUUUUUAGAUGAAUUUCAGUUUGCUACAAUAGGAACAUUGACACAUACUGAAUGAUGGAAACUUUUUUUUGUCGAUAUGGAAGCAACCUCUCAAGUUGACAGCACACAUCUAACUACAGCUCACCUCUUUAGACAAGGAGAGGAAGAGGAACACACACAGCUAGCUACAGAACACCCAGCUAGCUACAAAACAAUUAUUAGCCAAUAGACAGAUGCAUAAUAAAAUUGAAUUCUCUGAAAUACUGUGCGUAUGUUGCUUCCCAAGAUAAAUCGAGAUCAUGGAUGAGAUUUUAGCAUGAUUAUCAUAAGAAAAAACAGGCUCAAUUUCUUUUGCCGCGGAGAUGGUUACAAAAAUUGCUAAGUUAACAGGUGUGCUAGUAGUUCAGAAUUUCUGAAGUGGUAAUGAUUAAGUGAACAGAUUCGGUUCGCUACUACUAUCCAUAUCCAAAACUAUACAUACUAUGGUGGCGAGUCAUAGAAAUUUCAAUUCCUUCAGUUAAGUACAGACAUUUCACAUUCCAUUUGAAAUCCAAACUCUACAGACGAGUCAAAUAUUACUGGUCCAUGAUACUGGCACACCAAGUCAGCCAACUACAACCAGCAGACCAUUGCUAGACUAGAUUCACCAACCAUGCAUAAAAAUGAGAGUCCAGAUCACCCCUUUUGCAUUGGAACCAGUGAAAAAAAUAGCGCGCUACAGAAAAAUAGCGGCGACCUUAAAAUAUGCUAUUAGCGUGCUAUAUCGUGCUAUAACGUGCUAUUAGCGAGAUGUUGUACAUUGAUAUAUUUAGUGAGGCAAUUCUCAAUACUCUAUAGCGUGCUAUUAGCGACGCUAUAGCGCGCUAUUUUUUUCAGUGAUUGGAACUGUGAAACUUGACAAUUUAAAAUAGUGACAACAUUACAGUUUAACAUAUAGUGACAACAAGGCACUCCAAACAGGCUGAAUAGCUGAUACUGAUUGAUUAUAUAUGCUAACUUCUAGCGUCACAAACCAAAGCACGAACGAGGCAAUAAAGGCAUAGCAAGGCAAUUCAUGGCGUUGAUGUUGUUCUUUGUCAUCACCUUGACAGGAUCACAGCAGUACAACAAGGUGGUGCACCCUUCUACUACCAGCCAAUGACGCUAAACCUAUGGGACACUGUCUUCUCAACUAUUGAUUGAAACCAAUCCAAGAAGUUUGAGAGGCCUGAAACCUAACACUAAUAAAAAUGGCCAGUACACGGCACAGUUCGGUUCAUAAGAGCAGAAAAGCAAACAACAUUCAGAUCAUCACUCAUGAAAGUACCACUACUGCAACAUUACCAUUCUAAAUCUCUGCUUGCCAAAAGUAGCACUACUCAUAAGCACAAAUCCCACCCAGCACUAACACGACUACUACUUGGCGACAACCAGAGUGAACAACCAAAUUUGCAACUAGAUACAUGCAGUGCAGUCUAAGAGGAGGAGAACUUGGUGACUGCCUUGGAGGCCUCGGAGACAGCGUGCUUGGCGAGCUCGCCAGGGAGGACGAGGCUAUAGCCAUGGCCGGGCGGAUGGAAGAAAUUAGCUGAGGAGGGGAAAGGGAGGAGGUGAGGCGAGGGGAGACGAUGACUUACCGCUGGGGUAUACUGGAGGAGUACGCCGGCGUCGAGGCGUCAGGGCCGUGGCGUCUUGAGGAGGACGAGUCGGGCGGCGGCGUCUUGACGAGUCGGGCGGCGGCUUCUCCUCCAAAUCCCCGAGGCCCCCCUCGAGG
This 2774-nucleotide long non-coding RNA is filed under the name Triticum aestivum (bread wheat). RNAcentral's name for it is "long non-coding RNA (TAES_LNC006603)". The record is from RNAcentral. Lineage: Eukaryota; Viridiplantae; Streptophyta; Magnoliopsida; Poales; Poaceae.